This is a long non-coding RNA of Dermochelys coriacea (leatherback sea turtle), 2346 nucleotides long. RefSeq lists it as uncharacterized. Lineage: Eukaryota; Metazoa; Chordata; Testudines; Dermochelyidae. The record is from RefSeq and is a predicted model, not a curated record. The transcript has 3 exons.
CCCACGAAGCCCCGGGUACCUUUGGCCAUGGCUCCCCGCUCUCUCCCGCCGCCACAACCCGCGCCGGUAACCAUAGAGCUCACUCAGCGAGCGCGGCAAGCACCAUGAGCCACGUGACCAAUGUGCCGCGAGCCUCCCGGCGAGCGCCCCUUAGGCGCUGUCGCGCUCUGGCGAGUCGAUGCUUCUGCCACGGGGUUCCCCCUUUCCCCCGCACCAUUGAGGGGUUCAAUUUCUCCAGACCACCUGAUGAUCCACUAUAUCAGCAGGAGUUUGGAAGUUUGGAAUGUUUCAUUACUGAAUGAGAGCCAAGACCAUGAUGUUCACCCAUCCCGACUGAACAGAAGAGACCGUAGAUCAGAGAAGAGGAAGUGCUCAGAAUGAUGGAUUACCGAAGCCAACCAUUCGCUGUACCUCAUGGAUUUCCUGGAGCAGUUCCUCAUUCUUCAGCUCUAACUGUAUGGAAAAGAAGAGGCUCAAACAGGGACACAUGAACAAGUCUUAAAGCACCUAAGAUAUAUCUUCCUAGAAUACUCUGGGCCAUGAAGGAGGAUUCAACCAAUUAAUCCCACUUAGAGACUGUAAAGGAAAUAGAAAUAGCCUCUUUGUCAUCGUACCAAAUAUUUUCCUACUGCUGAUAUCAGAAAUGAUAUCACGUGUCAGCAAGAUGAUAGCAGCUGACAGCAGAAGCCUCAGUCACCUUUAAUUAAGUAUCUUGUUUUCAAAUAUAAUUCACACCUGAAAAAGGGCUAGUACAUCUCACCAUAGGUAUAUUCAGAACCAUCUGCUGAGAUAAACAGAUGUCUUCCUCUUUAACUGACAUCAGACCAUGAGCUGACCUCUGCAUCCUGCUUUUUUCCCCCAUACUAGAAGGGAUGAGAAAAAUACAAACCUUCAAUGCGUAUUUGUAAGACUGCUCUGCCUCCAACUGCCUUCCUCCCUGAAAAACACCAGUAGUCAGUGAGAAGCUUGUUUGAGAGGACAAAAUCAGGUGUUUCAGCUUCUGUCAAGAGACACAUUUUAACAAGGCUGGAUGACAGGAAUACCUCAGCUGUGGAAUAUUCAGUAGGAGAAAGGGUAAUGAGAAACAAAGGGGAAGAUUGUUUCUUUUGGCAUUAAAAUGCUUCCACAUUUUGUUUUUCCAGAAAACAAACCCCAAACCUAUCUAUAUUUACCAAUGGAAUCUAUGAGGCACCUUGUAGACAUAUAGACAGAUGCUGAUGUAGAUAAAAGCAGAACAUGUUUCCUCACAUUUGAGGUUGAGAUAGGACACUCACUUGCAUGCAGACUAGCGCUAAAUAUGCCCACACUUCGGCCUUGUUGUUAUUCAGCGCAUUGGCCUCAGAGAGGGCAUCUUCUGCCUCCGCUAUUUCUUUCAGCUUUACAUAGAGAGAGAGAGAGAGAGAUGAGAGCAAAAACCGAACAGCAGGUGAAAUAUUGCCCAGAGUUUAACACGCACCUGGUAUACGACAGCUAAAGAAAUCAGUGUGACAAAAACCUUCAGAAAUGAUCCUCACUCUAGGCUUCUUUGAAUUAUAUAGUAAUGAUGAUACAGUGUAACAAAUUUAGAGCAGAGGGAGUGAGACAACUGCAAUGUCAGACUCUCCAGCUCUCCUGACUGGAGGGCAAGCCCCUCAUUACUGAUUUAGCCAGUCAGUAAUGGAGCCCAGUCCUCUUACAAAUUAUCCAUGGACUAUUCUCACCGAAGAAAGCAACGAUCACUCUUCCACCUCCAUGUGUCUAGAGUUUGUAAACUGCUGGGGAACGCUUACGAUGGUUGAGGAAGAAAGUAGAGUCACCCUGACCCCUCCCAUUCACUUUCUUCAGAUGAGGGAACCUUGCAAAGCAGCCCCUUGGGAGAUGCUACACUCUUUAUGGCUGCAGGAAUCUCAGGCCUGUGUCUCGGUCUUUAUUAAACUAUUCUGAAAAUCCUCACAUCUUUAAUAAAGAAAGGGAUAUUCUUGGUAGCCCUUCCCAUCUGCUGACUUCCCUACAUUCCUUCCAAGGGAGAAAGCAAGGUAUGUACCUGUUGGACAAUCAGAGGAGCUACUUCAUUCCUAUGGACCCCAAAUCAGAAUUUAACAUAUAUAUUAUACUAACACACUCUAUACAUUGGUUAAAGGAAAACACCUGUGUACUAAUUAUGUGUCAGGUGUUAACCUGAAACCAUGGGCGGAGACAUCAUGUAAUCUUUGACUAUUGGCUACUGUGCUUAUCUUGUCUUGCUGCUAGACCUAUCCAGGGGUUUGGGACUGCCUACCCCGUCAUUUCCCUCUGCCCAUGGAAAAGCCAUACAAUCCAUUGUAAUCAAUUGUUUGGCCGUGUUUCUGAGCCUAAUAAGCAAGGUGA